CCCCAUAGUCUGGGAUACCACUUGGAAACAGGUGCUAAUACCGGAUAAGAAAGCGGAUCGCAUGAUCAGCUUUUAAAAGGCGGCGUAAGCUGUCGCUAUGGGAUGGCCCCGUGGUGCAUUAGCUAGUUGGUAAGGUAAAGGCUUACCAAGGCGAUGAUGCAUAGCCGAGUUGAGAGACUGAUCGGCCACAUUGGGACUGAGACACGGCCCAAACUCCUACGGGAGGCAGCAGG
This 233-nucleotide ribosomal RNA is filed under the name uncultured Lactobacillus sp. RNAcentral's name for it is "partial 16S ribosomal RNA". It matches the Rfam family "Bacterial small subunit ribosomal RNA", at positions 129 to 354 of the family's 1533-position model. Lineage: Bacteria; Bacillati; Bacillota; Bacilli; Lactobacillales; Lactobacillaceae. The record is from RNAcentral.